GACGCUCGGAGCAUGCGCAGAUACUUUGCGUCCUGCCUUGGUGAGGCGCUUGGGGACCUGGAGCUGCUCAGGUCUUUAGAAUUAGGUAAAGAUGAAUCGCUGCUCUCAAAGAUUCGCUUCCCUUUGCCGUUAUUGAAAGUAAUCCCUGCAGCAGUUAGUGUCAGAGUUCUGGAGUUCGAGUUCUUUGGGUAGGAGUAUGAAUCCAGAAAAUCACCUAGCUUCUCUAAAAGCCUGUUGUGGGCGUUUUUGUUUAUGUUUUUGUUUUGUUUUGUUUUUCAAAAAGGGGCUAAUGAAAGAGUAAACAGAUGCGAUGACUUUGGAACCAACUACUGAAGGAAGAUUUCCAGGCAAUCAGGAGUGGGAUUGAUUCCUUUCUUUGCAGAGGAAAUGGGACGUGCACAGGCCAGGAAGCAGGACAUAGCACUCGCUAAGGAUUUCCCAGUAGUCUGAAGUGUUGCCGGCUUGGAAGGGAGGAGGUGAGGUUUAAUUCCAAAAGCAAAUCUAGGGAGGUGUUCUAGAUCUGGGGGCUGUCAGUCACAGUGCCUGACAUGCUCACUGCCCCUUUCAAAAGAAAGUGCCCAGCUUGCUUUAGCCUUGCACAGAAACAGCGAUCUUCUAUACCGAAUGACCAACUAGCUGAGAGGUGAUUGCACGAAGGGUCCGGCAAUCUGUACAGUAGCUGCAAACUUAUGUCCAAACCGGGGAAUCAAAUCCAACCAGAUUCUCUCCCUCUUGCAGAUGGGCCUGGGAUAAGCAGAAACUGAAGCUGAAAAGAUAAGGAUACCAUGAGGAAGGAGGGGCCUGGAGGGAGACAGUGUUAUCCACUGGUGCCAGUGGAGUCAGACAUUUUCAGAGCGUGCUCAUAGAACUGGGGAGGCUCUUCAUGAUGAGAACAAAGGCAAAAAAGAUGUCUUUCCACAGUUUCUUCCUGAGACAUGAACAAGAAAUGGGCACCAGCUGUUCUUGUGAGGAUCCAAACCUCCAAAAUCUGCUUGACCUCUUGGGAUUCAAUUCUUUGAAAUUAGAAAGACACCCUCAAGAAUAAAUUUAAAAAGGAAAAAAAAAAGUUUGGGGCACCUGGGUGGCUCAGUUGGUUGAGCAUCCCAACUCUUGAUUUUGGCUCAGGUCAUUAUCUCAAGGUUCGUGGGUCCAAGCCCCCAGUGCUUGGGCUCUGUGCUGACAAUGCAGAGCCUGCUUGGGAUUCUCUCUCUCUCCCUCUGGCUCUGCCCCUCCCAUGCACUCCCUCUCUCUCCCUCUCUCUCCCUCUCUCUC
Acinonyx jubatus (cheetah) is the source of this 1272-nucleotide long non-coding RNA. RefSeq lists it as uncharacterized. The transcript has 2 exons. Lineage: Eukaryota; Metazoa; Chordata; Mammalia; Carnivora; Felidae. The record is from RefSeq and is a predicted model, not a curated record.